AUACUUACCUGGUCUCCGGGCUACCGUGAUCACAACGCGGAUUAGCCCGGAUGAAGCCUUCCCAAUGCAUUCGGCUUGGCUGAUCUCUGCGAAUAUCCCAAAUGCGAUUAUUUCGAGCGCGUAAUUUUCCCUAGUCGGGACUGCGUACGCGGAUCCCGA
Small nuclear RNA from Cimex lectularius (bed bug), 159 nucleotides. RefSeq annotates it as U1 spliceosomal RNA. The transcript has a single exon. Lineage: Eukaryota; Metazoa; Arthropoda; Insecta; Hemiptera; Cimicidae. The record is from RefSeq and is a predicted model, not a curated record.